GUGCCAGCAGCCGCGGUAAUACGUAGGGUGCAAUCGUUAAUCGGAAUUAUUGGGCGUAAAGCGUGCGCAGGCGGUUUUGUAAGACAGGCGUGAAAUCCCCGGGCUCAACCUGGGGACUGCGUUUAUGACUGGCAGGCUAGAGGAUGGCAGAGGGGGUAGAAUUCCACGUGUAGCAGUGAAAUGCGUAGAGAUGAGGAGGAACACCGAUGGCGAAGGCGGCCCCCUGGGCCAAUACUGACGCUCAUGCACGAAAGCGUGGGUAGCAAACAGGACUAGAUACCCUGGUAGUCCACGCCCUAAA
Molecule: ribosomal RNA, 301 nt
Filed under: uncultured bacterium
Lineage: Bacteria
Description: bacterial SSU rRNA
Rfam family: Bacterial small subunit ribosomal RNA
Source: RNAcentral